UAAUUUUGAAUAAACUUGUUCAGCUUGAUUAUAAAUUUGUAAAAUAAACUUUCGGUCUUAGCCAUAUGAUAUCAAACGAUCAAAAUAACCAUAAACUUAAAGUACUUAGCUAGGGUAAGUGUAUAAAAUGUCAGUACAUUUUAUUGUAGUUGGUGGAAACUAUGCACGGAGCUGUAGGCUGCUUGGCCAGAAGGAUGGGCUGCUUUUGUCAACACUUCAAGACUGCAAAACUGAGGCGAAAGAAGCAACAGCAAGAGGAGCAGCAGCAGCAGCCGAAGAAGAUGCUGGAGCGGUAAAUGCCUGAGGGGCAAUGCCAAGAGAGUUGUCUGGCAAUUGUCGAGAGUUUUCCAGCUGCCAGCUGCCAGCUGCAUAUGGCAUUGCGAAGCCCAACAGUCAAUAAACACCAGCCACUCCUCUAACGCGCACAAACCGAGCCGCCCAAAUAGCGCCAAAGCCAGUUGAGAUGUGCCGAGACGCGAGUGUUGACUCCAAUGCCAAAGCGCUGGCCACAGGCGCGUCCGUAGCUGAUGAUGCCGAGCAGGAACAUGCGUGAGCGUUGGCGCUGGAUAACGGGUCCGCCCGAAUCGUACUGGCAGGAGUCCUGGCCCAAUCCCGUAUGAUCGCAAAUGGGCGCCACGCCUCGUGAAAAUUCGAUUGGUGCCAAUGUCUGGAGCAGAGCGAUAUCGUUUGUAUCUCCAAUGCUGUUGUAGGCCGGAUGAUUGAUAAUGGUUUGUAUGGCAUAUUGAAAAGCGAACAUCGAUUCGCUAGCUGUUAAGCAAAAAAUUAGUGAGUAUAGGUCCUGAGAAGAAGAAAGAGUUCUUACCACUGCUGAGAUCGUGAUCACCCACCAGAGCCAAGAGUCGAGUGGCCAAUCGCUGGACCGUGCAAUGCGCUGCGGUGACAAUGAAGCGAUCACUGACGAUGCUGCCGCCACAGAAGAUGGGCUGAUUGGAGCCAAUCUCCCGCAGACCCACCAUUGAGGGAUACUCGUGCUUGGUCGCCUCGACGCCGUUCGUGAUGCGCGUCGGCUGCGACCAGCCGCAGUCGCAGGGCACGCGACGUGCCACCGCCUGGCAGCUCAGCCUGGCGCGCUGCUGGGUUGAGGCACUGAUCGACUGGUAGCCCAAGGCUAUGGAUUGAUAGUUCGAGGUGCGGGACACUUGACCCAUGCGACAAUAGCGCUCGGCAUCACGGAAUUCCAUAUCUCCGUCGCGUGAGAUGAAGAGAAACUUGGACUGACAGAUGUCGGGAUACUAAAACCAAACAAGAGUCACAGAAGCUGCCAGCCUGGUAAGCAAUCGUUAUUUGUCGUUACCACUUCGAAGCGACAAGUCAGGUGUAUCACAUGAUUGGGAGGCGCUUUAAUCUGGUAACGACAGCUGCUGCCCGCUGGCAGAGCCCUUGGAAAAUUAGAGCUGGUUAUGUUGAUGAGUUGAUUGGUCUGCAGGUUGUAAUGCCGGCUGCACUGCUGGCCGUCCACCAUGCUGAGCAUCAGUGGCAGCAGCAGCAGCAGCAUCAAACUGGGAGAUGGCGGCUCGAACAUUCUCACAGAAUAUUAUCUCAAGUAUUAUCGACAGCGACUGCAAGUGGCAUCACAUGCAGUGCCAGCUCUUAUAUCAGAAUUGGGGAGCCAUAAAACAAAUAAAAUAUAUUUUAAAUAAGUCAGUCCCCUGACGAAAGUAGAUUACGAUGUCAAUGCCACGACUAUUGACUCUUUCGGCUGUGUGAUUUUCAGCCCCUGCAAAUAGUAUAAAAGCCAGUUAUUCAUCAAAUAUGUAUAUUGUUACCUUUAUGCAGGGAUCUGAAUAAUAAUAUGAAGCAUAUUUUUGCUAUAUUUCUUAAUAACUAUAAGCGAUUGCGCCUACCGUUAGAAAAUACGAGAGAAAGUAGAUUUGACUGUGUUCGAUUUGCUUAGAAUUCUCAACGAGUCAUAGCUUCGAAAGAGUGGAGAUGUGCCUGCAAGUUUGAAGUUUGAAGAAUUGGAGAUAAUCCGAAUUUUGUGUUGACAGACUUUUGUCUCGCAAUUAAAAAUAAAGUUUUUGGAGUUCUUAACCGCAACGCGAUAUUUAAAUUGGUAUUUAGAGUAGUCGUAUUCCAUAAAUCGAAUAUGUGAAGGAUCACCACAGUAUUCAAAUUAGACUCGAUUCGGGACGUGUAAGUCAAAGAGCCUUUUCGCAAGUAACAAUAAGCUACACCUUACAUGAAUAACAUAGGGAAAACAUAUGCAUUAGCUGUGACGUCACAAGGCUGAUUGGAGCGAUAUUAAAGCUUUCUUCCAAAAUGCACUGUUCUUUCCACUUCAAACAUCAGCUUGAACAGAGGAAUAGAUGGAGCAAUAACAAUAACAGUGCUGUUCAGAAAUUACGCUCGAAUUCGACUUCGAAUUUGUCUCGUUUGCAGCUCACCUUGAAAGCAAUAAAAUGGCCGUCAACAACAACACGAACAAUUUGCACACAAAUUAGUCACGUACGCAUCACGCCCAAAAAGGAAACGAAAGAACGCCAAAAACAAGAACAACAAUAGGCCCAUUUUAGGAAUUGGGAGAGCUUCAUGUUUGUAUGGCUAAGCUAGGCUUGAGCCGCUCUUUGCUGCGUUCAGUGUGCUGCCAGUAGCCGAAGUCUGUGCGUCCGGGGCGUGUUGAGCGGUCGAGCGGGUCAGGGGAAAUCCGAGGGUAUUCGCCUUUAUACCUUUAAUGCUGGCUGAAACGAUUAUGAUUAUCAAAAUUUUGGAAUUUAUGAUCUAAAUUUGGAAAUAAACCAAUUAUUUUAAAUUAAAUGCUCCAUUUCAAAUCGA
This is a long non-coding RNA of Drosophila montana, 2793 nucleotides long. RefSeq lists it as uncharacterized. The record is from RefSeq and is a predicted model, not a curated record. The transcript has 3 exons. Lineage: Eukaryota; Metazoa; Arthropoda; Insecta; Diptera; Drosophilidae.